RNAcentral lists this ribosomal RNA (425 nucleotides) under uncultured bacterium. Its description in RNAcentral is "partial 16S ribosomal RNA". It matches the Rfam family "Bacterial small subunit ribosomal RNA", at positions 354 to 796 of the family's 1533-position model. The record is from RNAcentral.
GUGGGGAAUAUUGGACAAUGGGCGAAAGCCUGAUCCAGCCAUGCCGCGUGAGUGAUGAAGGCCUUAGGGUUGUAAAGCUCUUUCAGUGGGGACGAUAAUGACGGUACCCACAGAAGAAGCCCCGGCUAACUUCGUGCCAGCAGCCGCGGUAAUACGAAGGGGGCUAGCGUUGUUCGGAUUUACUGGGCGUAAAGCGCACGUAGGCGGAUCGUUAAGUCGGGGGUGAAAUCCUGGAGCUCAACUCCAGAACUGCCUUCGAUACUGGCGAUCUUGAGUCCGGAAGAGGUGAGUGGAACUCCUAGUGUAGAGGUGGAAUUCGUAGAUAUUAGGAAGAACACCAGUGGCGAAGGCGGCUCACUGGUCCGGUACUGACGCUGAGGUGCGAAAGCGUGGGGAGCAAACAGGAUUAGAUACCCUAGUAGUCC